GGAAAGUUUGGGAAAGUUUUGGAGAGAGCUGUUCAAGAUGAUGGGCUUGGAUUUCCACUUUUCUACCUCCUUUCAUCCCCAAAAAGAUAGGCAGACUAAUGGGUGAAUGCAUUGUUGGAGCUCUAUCUUCGGCACUUUGUAAGUGCCAACCAAAAGGAUUGGGCUAGGCUACUGGAUGUUGAACAAUAUUCCUAUAAUCUACGAAGAAGUGAGUCUACGCAGCCCUUUGAGAUUGAUACUAGCCAACAGCCCCUAACUGCACAUGUUGUU
Molecule: unclassified non-coding RNA, 270 nt
Filed under: Hevea brasiliensis (rubber tree)
Lineage: Eukaryota; Viridiplantae; Streptophyta; Magnoliopsida; Malpighiales; Euphorbiaceae
Source: RNAcentral